ACKGCUCAGUAACACGUGGAUAACCUGCUCAAGGGUUCGGGAUAACCCCGGGAAACUGGGGAUAAUACCGGAUAGAUCACUCAUGCUGGAAUGCUAGGUGGUUUAAAGGUAACGCCUUUGGAUGGGUCUGCGGCGGAUUAGGUUGACGCCGGUGUAACGUACCGGCGUGCCUGUAAUCCGUACGGGUUGUGGGAGCAAGAGCCCGGAGAUGGAUUCUGAGACACGAAUCCAGGCCCUACGGGGCGCAGCAGGCGCGAAAACUCUACAAUGCAGGCAACUGCGAUAGGGGGACAUCGAGUGAUAUCCACCUUGGGUAUCUGUCCCACCGUCUAAAAAACGGUGGUUAGCAAGGGCCGGGUAAGACCGGUGCCAGCCGCCGCGGUAAUACCGGCGGCUCGAGUGGUGGCCGAUAUUAUUGAGUCUAAAGGGUCCGUAGCCGGCUUCGCAAGUCCCCUGGGAAAUCCAGCGGCUUAACCGUUGGUCGUCCAUGGGAUACUACGUUGCUUGGGACUGGGAGAGGUGGGAGGUACUCGGGGGGUAGGGGUGAAAUCCUGUAAUCCUCCGGGGACCACCGGUGGCGAAGGCGUCCUACCAGAACAGGUCCGACGGUGAGGGACGAAAGCUAGGGGCACGAACCGGAUUAGAUACCCGGGUAGUCCUAGCCGUAAACGAUGCCCGCUAGGUGUCACGACAGUCGUGAAUUAUCGUGGUGCCGUAGGGAAGCCGCGAAGCGGGCCACUUGGGAAGUACGACCGCAAGGUUGAAACUUAAAGGAAUUGGCGGGGGAGCAC
Molecule: ribosomal RNA, 791 nt
Filed under: uncultured Methanocellales archaeon
Lineage: Archaea; Methanobacteriati; Methanobacteriota; Methanomicrobia; Methanocellales
Description: bacterial SSU rRNA
Rfam family: Archaeal small subunit ribosomal RNA
Source: RNAcentral